RNAcentral lists this ribosomal RNA (251 nucleotides) under uncultured bacterium. RNAcentral's name for it is "partial 16S ribosomal RNA". It matches the Rfam family "Bacterial small subunit ribosomal RNA", at positions 524 to 776 of the family's 1533-position model. The record is from RNAcentral.
UACGUAGGGUGCGAGCGUUAAUCGGAAUUACUGGGCGUAAAGCGUGCGCAGGCGGUCUGUUAAGACCGAUGUGAAAUCCCCGGGCUUAACCUGGGAACUGCAUUGGUGACUGGCAGGCUUUGAGUGUGGGAGGGAGGUAGAAUUCCACGUGUAGCAGUGAAAUGCGUAGAGAUGUGGAGGAAUACCGAUGGCGAGGCAGCCUCCUGGGCCAACACUGACGCUCAUGCACGAAAGCGUGGGGAGCAAACAGG